GCAGGGGAGCAAGUCAGUCCUAGGUUUCCUCCCCAGUGGGGCCUCAGUUUCCCCAUCUGUAAAAUGGGCAGCUGAGAUCAGAGGAUCACUAAAGGCCCUUCGAGCUCUAAUCUUCAUGACAAGUCUCAACCUAGCCUCUGAAGCUGUGGGCUUGAGAGGAUUAUGGAGGAGCCUCAUGACUUAUUUAUUACUGAGAUCUCACCUUACCCCAGGGAGGAGCUAAGAGGGACCCAUAUCCUCGCUGUUCUGCUCUAGCUGCGAAGAGUUUUCAGCUACUUUUCUGCUCGUGAUUUCCCGGGGCACUAUUAUGCUCUCUCCCCAACUUUCUGUGUCCAAACUCUUCCCAUCCUUUGAGGACCAGGCCAUGCCCCACAUUCUCCAGGAAGUCCUCCCUGCUCUAGCUGACAGGGCCUCCUUCUAUACUGGACUGGAGGCACCAGAA
Non-coding RNA from Ceratotherium simum simum (southern white rhinoceros), 442 nucleotides. NCBI's taxonomy places the organism in Eukaryota, Metazoa, Chordata, Mammalia, Perissodactyla, Rhinocerotidae. The record is from RefSeq and is a predicted model, not a curated record.